AGAGUUUGAUCAUGGCUCAGAGCGAACGCUGGCGGCAUGCUUAACACAUGCAAGUCGCACGGGCAGGGGCAACUCUGUCAGUGGCGGACGGGUGAGUAACGCGUAGGUAUCUAUCCUUGGGUGGGGGACAACCGUGGGAAACUACGGCUAAUACCGCAUGAUAACUGAGGUUUAAAGGCGCAAGUCGCCUGGGGAGGAGCCUGCGUACGAUUAGCUAGUUGGUGGGGUAAAGGCCUACCAAGGCGACGAUCGUUAGCUGGUCUGAGAGGAUGAUCAGCCACAUUGGGACUGAGACACGGCCCAAACUCCUACGGGAGGCAGCAGUGGGGAAUAUUGGACAAUGGGCGCAAGCCUGAUCCAGCAAUGCCGCGUGUGUGAAGAAGGUCUUCGGAUUGUAAAGCACUUUCGACGGGGACGAUGAUGACGGUACCCGUAGAAGAAGCCCCGGCUAACUUCGUGCCAGCAGCCGCGGUAAUACGAAGGGGGCUAGCGUUGCUCGGAAUGACUGGGCGUAAAGGGCGCGUAGGCGGAUGGCACAGUCAGAUGUGAAAUUCCCGGGCUUAACCUGGGGGCUGCAUUUAAUACGUGUGAUCUGGAGUGAGGAAGAGGGUCGUGGGAAUUCCCAGUGUAGAGGUGAAAUUCGUAGAUAUUGGGAAGAACACCGGUGGCGAACGCGGCGACCUGGUCCUUGACUGACGCUGAGCGCGAAAGCGUGGGGAGCAAACAGAUUAGAUACCCUGUAGUCCACGCUGUAAACGAUGUGUGCUGGAUGUUGGGCGACCUAGUCGCUCAGUGUCGUAGCUACGCGAUAGCACCACCGCCUGGGAGUACGCCGCAAGUUGAAACUCAAGGAAUUGACCGGGGGCCCGCACAGCGGUGGAGCAUGUGUUUAAUUCGAAGCCACGCCCCAAAAUCUU
This 917-nucleotide ribosomal RNA is filed under the name uncultured bacterium. Its description in RNAcentral is "bacterial SSU rRNA". It matches the Rfam family "Bacterial small subunit ribosomal RNA", at positions 8 to 972 of the family's 1533-position model. The record is from RNAcentral.